This is a non-coding RNA of Linepithema humile (Argentine ant), 296 nucleotides long. Lineage: Eukaryota; Metazoa; Arthropoda; Insecta; Hymenoptera; Formicidae. The record is from RefSeq and is a predicted model, not a curated record.
CACGUUAUUAACAUAACACCCGUCGACCAAAAGAUGCCCAUCAAGGGGAUCGCAAAUCGGAGGGAAGACCCCCGCGAUAGUCAUGCUGCCGCUAACGCGCGCAAAUAAAUCCUCAACGUUCUGCCAAAGUAAAUAUGAAGUGACACAAGGUCCCCGACUGAAUUUAGAGCAGCCAAAAUAGCCGAAUUUCGAAGAGCUAAGAAGUUUUCACAUUAGCCGUCAAAGUCAGCGCUGCGCUCGUCAAUUGCGAUUCAAGUUACCUGGAAGGUUAUUGACGUACCCGCCGUCGAGCAGGA